CCCCCUAUUUUUUUACAAUUUUUUUUCAAAUUUUGGGCUCUAGUUUCAGAUUUUUGAACAUAGCGCCCUUCGAUACCUUGCGCAAAAGAAGCGCCUGUUUCUCCUCUACAAGACCUAUAUAGUCAUACCCCGUGACACCCUCAUUAUUUUUCUCUAGAAGCCCUGGAAUAGGCCGACCCCCCUGUUUUUUUACCAUUUUUUUUUCAAAUUUUGAGCUCUAGUUUCAGAUUUUUGAACAUAGCGCCCUUCGAUACCUUGCGCAAAAGAAGCGCCUGUUUCUCUUCUACAAGACCUAUAUAGUCAUACCCCGUGACACCCUCAUUAUUUUUCUCUAGAAGCCCUGGAAUAGGCCGACCCCCUAUUUUUUACCAUUUUUUUUCAAAUUUUGAGCUCUAGUUUCAGAUUUUUGAACAUAGCGCCCUUUCAUACCUUGCGCAAAAGAAGCGCCUGUUUCUCUUCUACAAGACCUAUAUAGUCAUACCCCGUGACACCCUUCAUUAUUUUUCUCUAGAAGCCCUGGAAUAGGCGACCCCCCCCCCCCCUAUUUUUUUACCAUUUUUUUUUCAAAUUUUGGGCUCUAGUUUCAGAUUUUUGAACAUAGCGCCCUUUGAUACCUUGCGCAAAAGAAGCGCCUGUUUCUCUCUACAAGACCUAUAUAGUCAUACCCCGUGACACCCCUCAUUAUUUUUCUCUAGAAGCCCUGGAAUAGGCCGACCCCCUUUUUUUUUUACCAUUUUUUUCAAAUUUUGAGCUCUAGUUUCAGAUUUUUGAACAUAGCGCCCUUUGAUACCUUGCGCAAAAGAAGCGCCUGUUUUCUUCUACAAGACCUAUAUAGUCAUACCCCGUGACACCCCUCAUUAUUUUUUCUCUAGAAGCCCUGGAAUAGGCCGACUCCCCUAUUUUUUACCUUUUUUUUCAAAUUUUGAGCUCUAGUUUCAGAUUUUUGAACAUAGCGCCCUUUGAUACCUUGCGCAAAAGAAGCGCCUGUUUCUUCUCUACAAGACCUAUAUAGUCAUAUCCCGUGACACCCCUCAUUAUUUUUCUCUAGAAGCCCUGGAAUAGGAUGCCCCAUUUUUUUACAUAUUUUUUUUCAAAUUUUGGGCUCUAGUUUCAGAUUUUUGAACAUAGCGUCCUUCGAUACCUUGCGCAAAAGAAGCGCCUGUUUCUCUUCUACAAGACCUAUAUAGUCAUACCCCGUGACACCCCUCAUUAUUUUUCUCUAGAAGCCCCGGAAUAGGCCGACGCCCCUAUUUUUUUACCAUUUUUUUUCAAAUUUUGUGGCUCUAGUUUUUGAACAUAGCGCCCUUCGAUAUCUUACGCAAAAGAAGCGCCUGUUUCUCCUCUACAAGAUCUUUAUAGUCAUACCCCGUGACACCCCUCAUUAUUUUUCUCUAGAAGCCCUGGAAUAGGGCUACUCUCUAUUUUUUUACCAUUUUUUUCAAAUUUUGGGCUCUAGUUUCAGAUUAGGAUUGAUGCUUACAAGAAAGCUAUUGGACAAAAGAUCCAGAUGGAGAAAUUCAAGUCGACCCUUCGAAUCCGUUAAGGACGCCAUCAUGAUUUAGUUGACCAGUUCGAAAUAUCUAUUUCACAGAUAACGACGGUAUUGUUCCAAUUGUCGUAGCUGCAUUCAAGUACUCUGUUCUUUGAAAGUGACCUACCGAAUUAGAUGUAUCACAGGGUUUGUACUAAUACUAUAUGACUGGUGCACUUGUGGAUCAGGAUCUGCUUACCCUUUCAAAAUACAUUCGUUAAACGAAAACCGUGGAGCAACUCUUUCCAGAAUGCACUACAAGCAACUGACUUGUCAUAAACGUUACCGGAAUGAAUAUUGAUGGAAAAAGUGUGAUGUGUGAAAAUAUAAUGCUUUUACAGCAUUAGGGCGGUUAAAUAUGCAAGGGAAGUAAAUCGAACAAAACACCAAACCUGGGUAUUCCUCAGGUAAAUGUAACUGUUUGAUAACACACUCAAACAAAUGAAAAUAAAUCGUGCAUUAUUAGCUAUACAUCAACGUUGAAAAGUACAAAACGUAAGUUGCAAUUUAAAGUAAAUGGCGGUCAUGCAAAGUUAUUAGAAUGUCUGGUAUAUUUAAAUAGGAUAUUUAUUUGGUAAACAAAUUGUAUAAUCAUUGAAUUUUGUCAGAAAAGACACCAUAAUUUGUAUAAACGUUUGCAUUUUAACAACCGCUAUGCGAGAAUGUGAUUUGUCAUGUCAGAAUUUUAUCAUAUAGAAAUAAAUAAUUUAGGUAAAGAGCUUAUACUUAUAGUCUUAAUCCAUUCUAAAAGAUAACAUUUUUCAAAAAAAAUUGCUAUCUUGAAGGUUUUUAAAAUCUCGAAUCAAAAGAGGGGCGACAGAUAGAAAUGAUUUCAACUUCACCACUUGAACUAUUAAUAGCUUCCUUGGGAGCAGAAAUCCUAAAUCAAGGAAAUAAUGAUAUCAAGUGUUCAAAUGAGCAUUUUUCUUGAAGGACAGAUUUUGCCAUAUUUGUCCCUUUAUGCGAAAAUUCAAUAUAAGUAAUUU
Molecule: long non-coding RNA, 2517 nt
Filed under: Mytilus galloprovincialis (Mediterranean mussel)
Lineage: Eukaryota; Metazoa; Mollusca; Bivalvia; Mytilida; Mytilidae
Source: RNAcentral